CACAUGGCUGGGGAGGCCUCACAAUCAUGGUGGAAGACGAAGAGCAAAGGGAUGUCCUACAUGGCAGCAGGCUCUGAAACUCUGUCAUUCAACCUAGAGAUAAUUGCGUUUCAUUGGACCGUUAAUCAGAUUCUCAUCUGUCAAAUAUCACUGGUGUAGCAUCCAGUUGUCAACAGUCUGUAUCCAUGUUUUCUUCCUUUAUUCAAAUCAAGAUUGAUUUUAAAAGAGAAACAAGUUUCUUCUUCCAGCAGUCCUCCAUCUCAUUUCUAUUUAAACCGGCAACUAUCAUUCUCAGCAAAGUUAAGGCAAAUGAGCAGGGAGAAUGGUCUGGAAAGGUGGUUUCUUUGUAGCUGCAUAAAGAAGUUCCUAUUAUUUUAGUUACUUGUCUGCCAUUCAGCCUCAUAUUACCAUAUACCAAUAUGUAGUUAUGAUGCUUUCCUGCCUAAAAUCCUUGGUCUUAUUGGGAAUGGAGCUUAUGUCUGUAAACAUUCUAGAGUUGCUCAAUUAAAUGACCAGAUGUUUCUCAUUAGGAUGAUUGGCAGGUGCAUGCUGAAGCUUUGGUGGGAAUAGUUGUGACUGGAAAGGCCAGCUACCCAAACAACAGUGCAAGUUCUCCUGUAUUCCCCACUGUUACUUAACAAACCCAAGAGGUGCAAUGGAUGGGGCUACUGAUAUACCAGCCUCCUGCUGGAAAAAAAUACUGAGUAUCCA
Molecule: long non-coding RNA, 711 nt
Filed under: Homo sapiens (human)
Lineage: Eukaryota; Metazoa; Chordata; Mammalia; Primates; Hominidae
Description: HSALNT0112448
Source: RNAcentral